CUGGAUCCGACUACACGACCCGUGAGGAAUCACAGGUGCAAAAGAAGAUGCAAGGUACCAGUGGUACCGUACCAACUAUGAUUCUUAUGACAGAACCACUUAUGGGGACGUUUAUGGCAGCACCAAAGAACUGGGUUUCUCGCGAAGGGGAAAAAUUCACUCUGACAUGGACCACCGAAAACGGAUUCCAGCCAAGAGGCGACCACUUGCCCGUUGCUCCCGUCCACGUUUACGAGCUCCCAGUUACCCCUACCCUCCCUUACCACCGCAGAGGGGCAGGUAGCAAAACCUACAAUACCUUUUUAUUAGAUUGUUUAUGAAUUUUUCGUGUUUUAUUUAUCUUAAGCUACCAUGAUCCCUGACAAAGUUUGAUUAAUUAAAUUAAAAUUCUCAAAAAUUCGUUGGAGUUCUAUUUUCUGUUACAAACGAUCCUCUUGGCAAUUUAGCUUAUUUGGACAGUGGAGAUAGCCGCUACAUCAUACCCAAAUCAUGCAUACUACCUACAUCAUACCAUUUAUGAUUAUGAAAUCUUAUGAUUCAUGUUUUUGUCUGUUGAAUAACUUGAAUUUUUUCACAAUUUUAGUGUAACCACCUUUUUCAUAUUCAUGCAACCUUGCCCACUCCCCCUCCUAUUGAUAUCAUUCAAAAUGGACGCUGACUUGUUGACAGUGCGUUAAUUAACUUGUGACGGUGUGAUUGUUUCGAGAGUUAUUCACUGCAUUUUGGUGUUUUUGACUAACUGAAUCGCUGUAAAACAGAGCAGCAAGCAGAGCAACGUUGUUUAACAAAGACCUUCCUGGUUCACCCAUCGUGUCAUUUGACAAUUUCACAAUUGUUUUGUGGUUUCUGAUACGAGGUCAUUGGGCCUAUGACUCCGACUCCAGGUUUUAACUGAACGAAAAAUUCUAGGAAACCGACUGAAACUGAAUCCGUAAAUCGUCAAUUCUUUGAACUCGCUAGGAAAGUUACGU
This 971-nucleotide long non-coding RNA is filed under the name Daphnia pulex (common water flea). RNAcentral describes it as "uncharacterized LOC124209449, transcript variant X4". Lineage: Eukaryota; Metazoa; Arthropoda; Branchiopoda; Diplostraca; Daphniidae. The record is from RNAcentral.